RNAcentral lists this long non-coding RNA (1196 nucleotides) under Salvia miltiorrhiza (redroot sage). RNAcentral's name for it is "long non-coding RNA (SMIL_LNC002140)". Lineage: Eukaryota; Viridiplantae; Streptophyta; Magnoliopsida; Lamiales; Lamiaceae. The record is from RNAcentral.
UAUUUUUAUUUAAACACAAUAAAAUAUAUGAAUUUUAUAUUUUUUUUGUCAUAUUAUGACUAGUCAUAUUAAUAUGGCUAAACAACUUUUCCAAUAAAUUAUGAGUUGCACAGCACUUGCCUAUAAAUUGAUUGUGCAACAAUUUUUAGCCCAACAAAUAGUAACACGUGUUGUUCUUCCAUUUGGGACUGUGACAAGACCAUGAAUAUGAUGUAUCUUGGAAGUUUUUAUUACCUUAUUAAAUUGCAGCAGUGAGUCAUCACUUUUGUGUUUCAACCCAUGUGACCUAAAAUUAGAUAACGUGAUGAUGAUAAUACAUAGUAUAAAUAAUUGGAUUAUAGUACGAGCAUCUCUUUGAAUAAGAAUUAAUAAUCAAAUUCAACUAUAUAUAAAUUAAAUUAGAUUGAACGAAGAAGAUUAAUUAGUUUUGAGGGGGGAGGGGGGAUGAAGUAAUUUGUGGUAUUUUUUCUUUGAAUAAUAUAGUCAUUUGCAUGCAUAUAAAUACAUUAUAUUUGCAUAAAUUAAGUAGUUGUGUGAAUGAAGUAUAUCCUACCGAUAUACUUCAUUCUGCGUAUGAGGAGCAGGGUCAGUGUUUGGGGGCGGGCUUCAUUCUGCACAAUGCGGGGGGUGCGGUGUUAUUGUGGCUGCCGGGGCUCAAUCGAUUGAUUUUACGGGGACGGUACUUAUGGGGGAGCUUCAUGCUAUGCUUAUUGCGGUGGGUUUCUGUUUAGCGAAUGAUCUUGGCCCGAUUGUCCUUUUCUCGGACUCUCUUUUGGCGAUUCAUUUACUGCAUGAUAAGUACCAUGGGUCUGAUUCUCUUGGUGAUGAUUUGAUGGACGCUUUUUCCCACACUUGGAAUACUGUGGUUCUUGAAUUUUUCAUGUUCAUCGUUAGGCUAACUUAGACUAAGUUUAUCAGCAACCACCCAACCACCCAACCAUCCAACCAUCUUCAAUAUUUAAUUUAUUUCUCUCUCUUCCACAUCACCAAUAUUCAUCCCAACUCAACCACUUCUAUUUUUGUUGGUUUAUCAAUGACCACCCAACCAUCCAACCACAACAUUAUAUAUAAUUAUUUUGUUAUUAUUUUUAAUCGUAAUAAUUUUAAUAAUAUUAAAUAUAAAUUAAAAUAUUCCAAAAAAAAUUAAAAUGAAAAAAACAAUAACAAACUAAUAAAAAUUUAAAUUACGACAAACU